GAGUUUAAAGCCUAAACAGGCAAAGAGCCGGAGGAGCAGCUGCCCGAGCUGAUGUAGACAGCCUGGCAGGUCAAUGGGCCAGCUGCUCACAAAGCUUGCUGCCUGACCUCCCCCUCCAGAUCCACAACCCAUCGAUCAUUAGGAUGGCUAGAGUAGGUCCUCUGUAAAACAAAACGGGGUACUUGGGCACCCAGCUCUAUGUGUACAACACACAAUUGCCUGCUUUAGUGCUGCAUAUGCCCAGAAACAUAAUUUCUGCUGUCAUCCUGCAGGGACACGUCUGUGUGACUAAACACAGCCUCCACUAAACAGAAUGGAUGGAGGAGGUUAAAGCGUGUGUGCCUGUCUGCGGAGGGAGAACACGACUUUCUCAAGACCAUCUGGGUUUUGCUUUCUUUUGAUAGAGAUGGAUUUGACUCACCUCUUAGAGCAGGAUGCUGUUGCAAACUCAGUGUGUUCAGAAAGCCUGGGAAAAUGCUGCAGCCCAAGUCUCUCUGACUAUUGUUUCCCAGUGCCUUGCUCUGGAGGAUAACAGGCCGAGUUGCCCGUUAUCUGUGACUGUCUGUAGCAGGACAUUGUUUCUUUUGUCACUGACACUGCCGAUUAGUCACGGACAAGUCUCCCUGUCUCACACACACAUACUUGGACACAGCCUUUCAGCCCACGAGCAAAUAGGGUUUCAAUAAUCCUGGCUUGCCGCUGCUUUGGGGGAACGAGUGGAAGCACAGAGCAAUACGCAUUGAAAGCUUGCCACCUUCUGGACAUUGCACAGCACUGUGUCUUUCAUAAAAAAAAAAAAAGUAAUUUUACAAGGGGGGGCUCCAGGUAGCAAUUGGAAGCAGAUAAGCAAGUGCCAUUGUGUGUGAACCGACUUUAGGGAUGAAAAUGGAAAAAGAUGGAUGGAGAAGGAAUGUGAGUUGCACAGUGCAGCACACUAACCCAUCCUCACAAAGGAGCUAUAAACGUGGAUAUUAUUCCAAAAUGGGCUCAGGGUUGCAUGAGGAGCUAUACGUAAACUUGAAAGCUUCAGAAAGCUUUUCAGCUCUUAUUGAGGAAGACAACUGCAACAGAAAGGGAUCAACAGACCAAAGAGAUGGCUGUAUUUUUGCCAGGAAUAUUCCUUUUACUUGCUUGCUGAACUGUGUUGGAGCUGGAAAUUGCAAAAGCCCAUACAUGCUGAGUCCAGCAUCUCUCCAAAAUAUCGGUAACUAGACAUUUAUAUAAAAAGCAGAUAGAGGCAAUCUAUAAUAGCAUCUGUAAUGUAUUAUGAUUUUAUUCUGCUGAACAUUACAAGCCACUGACUUCUUUUCUGUUACAUGGCCCUAUUAUGCCUGACACUCAGUUCAACCCACUCACAUUAAUUCAGUUCCCUCUCUGUCACCCUCCCAGCCUGGUGCACUGGCAGCAAUUGCUUUAGAUGUUUGCAUUCAGAUUAUAGCAGAGAUGGUGUAUUUGUCGUCCAGAGCACAAGGUCAGAAGGAUAUUUCACCCCUCUCCCCCUUGCAGUGCUGCUGCUUGGCUCUUGACUUUGUACACAGGAGAGCCACAUCGUGGCGCAUGCUGUGCAAACAAACACCAACCACGUGUUUGUCUUUGAGAAGCAGAAGACGGCUUUUAUGCGAACAGGCCUGCUGUGGAUCCUCAGGGAGCAGGAGCCCUGCAUCACCUUCAGGAUGCAGGGAAAGGCUUUGACCUCUUUCUGCUGCCUUCAGGUGCUGCCUGAAGCUCAUUUCAUACUUUCCUCCUGCUUUUGCCCACGUGAGGACAUGUCAGUGUGGGCCAAAUGGCACACUGCAUAAACCCCUACUGCUGCCUCCAUAGUGGGAACCUGAUUUCCCACCACUUCCAGGACAGCUCAGCAUUAACAGAGAUUUUCCAUUAGCUUCAGAGGCAAAUGCUGUCAUAGCAGAGAUGAUGAUUGUAACAGGCAUGCAAAUGAGUAAAGUCAUUUCAUCCAAAUUGACAUCAUCUUAAUUACAGCAGCGUGAUCAACCUUUUCGACUGUACAGAUUGCCUAUCAAAAACAGAGCAGACAGCUUGAGGGCACAUCGGGCAGAGCUUGGAGAGCUGUGAGGAGAGGGAACUCCAAGGACAAUCUGGAGGACUGAGGUGGUGUCAGCUUCCAAAAACUGAGUCCCCAGGCAAGGUGGCAAUUUGAGCAUCCCCCUCCUUGCUGGGCUUUCACAUUAGCCAGCUGGCAAUACACUGGAAGAUUCCGAGAGCAACUGGAGUAAAGAUGUGUGUGUGAUCUGGUUACAGCUCACCUGAGACUCACAAGACAACCUGAAUUAGGGAGAAGUAAGCGGCUGCUGUUGCUGUACACUGGGUUACACCAGGUCUAGGUUGCUUUUCUUUUUUGGAGGAAUCAGGAAUUGUCUCCAAGUUCUGUUCUCAGUCUCUGACUGUCAUCACAAAAUUGUUGCCUGGCUAAUAGCACAAGGACGGUUUCUGUUAGCACUCAUCCUUUAGUGGGGUGUGAAAGGUAGGAUGCAACCCCAGGCAAAAGUCUGCCAGCUUGUGGGUUUUAUCUCACAAAACAAGCUUCAGCCUCAGGACACAAUGCAUAUCAGUGCAGCCAUGUAACUCCUGGAGCAACCUCACUCCUUUUACUAAUAACUUUGCUGUCUGCAGUAGCUUUGCACUAGGGUGUCCCUUUGCUGUGUCAGACUACCACAAGCCUGAGGUUCACACCUAGUACUAUCAGGGCUACUCUUGAAACACUAUACCCAGUGGCGUUGCUGUCACUGCUUCCAAAACUCCAUCACAGAGAUGGUGCCAAGGCAAAAGAACCUCCUUGCACUGCAAUAUUGCACUGAUGCCUGCAGCAAAACCACCUCUGUCAGCCAGUGUCAGUGUCCCAGGAGGGACAUGUGAGCCAGUAGCAGACCAUGGCAGAGCAACCUCGCAAUCUGCAGAUCUCCUUUACUCCCUGAAUGCGCCCCAACUGAGUCGCAGUAAGAGAAGAGAUCGUCUGACUGGGUGCUGUGAGCACAGUGAUGUCCUGGCAUGUUCAAAGCAUCGCACUGCAGACAUUAAACACAACAUAAUGGAAGAUUUCUUGUAAUUUUCCACUAGCUGCAGAGGAGACUUUAGUCUAAA
RNAcentral lists this long non-coding RNA (3099 nucleotides) under Cairina moschata (Muscovy duck). RNAcentral describes it as "domestica (muscovy Duck (domestic type)) lncRNA (ENSCMMG00000006088.1)". Lineage: Eukaryota; Metazoa; Chordata; Aves; Anseriformes; Anatidae. The record is from RNAcentral.